RNAcentral lists this ribosomal RNA (200 nucleotides) under uncultured bacterium. Its description in RNAcentral is "partial 16S ribosomal RNA". It matches the Rfam family "Bacterial small subunit ribosomal RNA", at positions 30 to 232 of the family's 1533-position model. The record is from RNAcentral.
AUUGAACGCUGGCGGCAUGCCUUACACAUGCAAGUCGAACGGUUGAGGUAGCUUGCUACCGAUGCAGCGGCGGACGGGUGAGUAAUACAUGGGAAUCUGCCUGGUAGUGGGGGACAACGUUUCGAAAGGAACGCUAAUACCGCAUACGCCCUACGGGGGAAAGGGGGGGAUCGCAAGACCUCUCGCUAUCAGAUGAGCCC